RNAcentral lists this ribosomal RNA (468 nucleotides) under uncultured bacterium. RNAcentral's name for it is "partial 16S ribosomal RNA". It matches the Rfam family "Bacterial small subunit ribosomal RNA", at positions 28 to 507 of the family's 1533-position model. The record is from RNAcentral.
GACGAACGCUGGCGGCGUGCUUAACACAUGCAAGUCGAACGGAAAGGCCCUGCUUGUGUGGGGUGCUCGAGUGGCGAACGGGUGAGUAACACGUGAGUAACCUGCCCUUGACUUUGGGAUAACUUCAGGAAACUGGGGCUAAUACCGGAUAGGAGCUCCUGCUGCAUGGUGGGGGUGGGAAAGUUUCGGCGGUUGGGGAUGGACUCGCGGCUUAUCAGGUUGGUGGUGGGGUAGUGGCUUACCACGGCUUUGACGGGUAGCCGGCCUGGGAGGGUGACCGGCCCCAUGGGGCCUGCGAGACGGCCCAGACUCCAACGUUAGGCAGCAGUGGGGAAUAUUGCCCAAUGGGCGGAAGCCUGAUGCAGCAACGCCGCGUGCGUGAUGACGGCCUUCGGGUUGUAAACCGCUUUCGCCUGUGACGAAGCGUGCGUGACGGUAAUGGAUAAAGAAGCACCGGCUAACUACGUG